Molecule: ribosomal RNA, 1478 nt
Filed under: metagenome
Description: bacterial SSU rRNA
Rfam family: Bacterial small subunit ribosomal RNA
Source: RNAcentral
AGAGUUUGAUCCUGGCUCAGGAUGAACGCUAGCGGCAGGCCUAAUACAUGCAAGUCGAACGGGGCAGUUCAGCAAUGGACUGUUCAGUGGCGCACGGGUGCGUAACGCGUAUGCAACCUACCUUAAACUGGGGGAUAGCCUUCCGAAAGGGAGAUUAAUACCGCAUAAGAUCAUUUGAUGGCAUCUGAAGAUGAUUAAAGAUUUAUUGGUUUAAGAUGGGCAUGCGUGCCAUUAGCUAGUUGGUAGUGUAACGGACUACCAAGGCGACGAUGGCUAGGGGUUCUGAGAGGAUGAUCCCCCACACUGGUACUGAGAUACGGACCAGACUCCUACGGGAGGCAGCAGUAGGGAAUAUUGGGCAAUGGACGGAAGUCUGACCCAGCCAUGCCGCGUGCAGGAAGAAGGCCUUCUGGGUUGUAAACUGCUUUUAUAUAGGAAGAAAACACCCAUGCGUGGGAACCUGACGGUACUAUAUGAAUAAGCACCGGCUAACUCCGUGCCAGCAGCCGCGGUAAUACGGAGGGUGCAAGCGUUGUCCGGAUUUAUUGGGUUUAAAGGGUGCGUAGGCGGCCCGUUAAGUCAGUGGUGAAAGCCUCCAGCUCAACUGGAGAACUGCCAUUGAUACUGACGGGCUUGAGUACAGACGAGGUUGGCGGAAUUGAUUGUGUAGCGGUGAAAUGCAUAGAUACAAUCAAGAACUCCGAUUGCGUAGGCAGCUAACUAGGCUGUAACUGACGCUGAGGCACGAAAGCGUGGGAGCGAACAGGAUUAGAUACCCUGGUAGUCCACGCUGUAAACGAUGAUUACUCGAUGUCGGCGAUAAACUGUCGGCGUCUUAGCGAAAGCGUUAAGUAAUCCACCUGGGGAGUACGCCCGCAAGGGUGAAACUCAAAGGAAUUGACGGGGGCCCGCACAAGCGGUGGAGCAUGUGGUUUAAUUCGAUGAUACGCGAGGAACCUUACCUAGGCUAGAAUGCGCGUGACCGACUCAGAGAUGAGUCUUUCCUUCGGGACACAAAGCAAGGUGCUGCAUGGCCGUCGUCAGCUCGUGCCGUGAGGUGUUGGGUUAAGUCCCGCAACGAGCGCAACCCCUAUCUUUAGUUGCCAGCACAUAAUGGUGGGGACUCUAAAGAGACUGCCUGCGCAAGCAGUGAGGAAGGUGGGGAUGACGUCAGGUCAUCAUGGCCCUUACGCCUAGGGCUACACACGUGCUACAAUGGGCGGUACAAAGGGUUGCUACCUGGUGACAGGAUGCCAAUCUCAAAAAGCCGCUCUCAGUUCGGAUCGAAGUCUGCAACUCGACUUCGUGAAGCUGGAAUCGCUAGUAAUCGCGUAUCAGCAAUGACGCGGUGAAUACGUUCCCGGGCCUUGUACACACCGCCCGUCAAGCCAUGGAAGUCAGGGAGACCUGAAGACGGUGCCCGUUAAAGGAGCCGUUUAGGGUAAAACUGGUAACUGGGGCUAAGUCGUAACAAGGUA